CCUACGGGAGGCUGCAGUGGGGAAUAUUGGACAAUGGGCGAAAGCCUGAUCCAGCAAUACCGCGUGUGUGAAGAAGGCCUUAGGGUUGUAAAGCACUUUCAAUUGGAAGGAAAACCUCGAAGUUAAUACCUUCGAGUUUGACAUUACCUUUAGAAGAAGCACCGGCUAACUCCGUGCCAGCAGCCGCGGUAAUACGGAGGGUGCAAGCGUUAAUCGGAAUUACUGGGCGUAAAGCGUGCGUAGGCGGCUCGUUAAGUCAGAUGUGAAAGCCCUGGGCUCAACCUGGGAACUGCAUUUGAAACUGGCGAGCUAGAGUUUGAGAGAGGUAAGUGGAAUUUCAGGUGUAGCGGUGAAAUGCGUAGAGAUCUGAAGGAACACCAGUGGCGAAGGCGACUUACUGGCUUAAAACUGACGCUCAGGUACGAAAGCGUGGGUAGCAAACAGGAUUAGAUACCCCAGUAGUC
This 464-nucleotide ribosomal RNA is filed under the name uncultured Methylobacter sp. RNAcentral's name for it is "bacterial SSU rRNA". It matches the Rfam family "Bacterial small subunit ribosomal RNA", at positions 338 to 795 of the family's 1533-position model. The record is from RNAcentral. Lineage: Bacteria; Pseudomonadati; Pseudomonadota; Gammaproteobacteria; Methylococcales; Methylococcaceae.